CCUACGGGUGGCUGCAGUCGAGAAUUUUUCUCAAUGGGGGAAACCCUGAAGGAGCGACGCCGCGUGUAGGAUGAAGGUCUUCGGAUUGUAAACUCCUGUCAUUUGGGAACUAGUACCAGAAGAGGAAGAGACGGCUAACUCUGUGCCAGCAGCCGCGGUAAUACAGAGGUCUCAAGCGUUGUUCGGAUUCAUUGGGCGUAUAGGGUGCGUAGGUGGCGAGGUUAGUCAGGUGUGAAAUCUCGGGGCUCAACCCCGAAACUGCACUUGAUACUGACUUGCUAGAGUACUGGAGAGGAGAUUGGAAUUUACGGUGUAGCAGUGAAAUGCGUAGAUAUCGUAAGGAAGACCAGUGGCGAAGGCGAAUCUCUGGACAGUACUGACACUGAGGCACGAAGGCCAGGGGAGCAAACGGGAUUAGAUACCCGUGUAGUC
Molecule: ribosomal RNA, 432 nt
Filed under: uncultured bacterium
Lineage: Bacteria
Description: partial 16S ribosomal RNA
Rfam family: Bacterial small subunit ribosomal RNA
Source: RNAcentral